This 492-nucleotide ribosomal RNA is filed under the name uncultured bacterium. RNAcentral describes it as "partial 16S ribosomal RNA". It matches the Rfam family "Bacterial small subunit ribosomal RNA", at positions 29 to 507 of the family's 1533-position model. The record is from RNAcentral.
AGUGAACGCUGGCGGUAGGCCUAACACAUGCAAGUCGAACGGCAGCACAGUAAGAGCUUGCUCUUACGGGUGGCGAGUGGCGGACGGGUGAGGAAUACAUCGGAAUCUACUUUUUCGUGGGGGAUAACGUAGGGAAACUUACGCUAAUACCGCAUACGACAUACGGGUGAAAGCAGGGGAUCUUCGGACCUUGCGCGAUUGAAUGAGCCGAUGUCGGAUUAGCUAGUUGGCGGGGUAAAGGCCCACCAAGGCGACGAUCCGUAGCUGGUCUGAGAGGAUGAUCAGCCACACUGGAACUGAGACACGGUCCAGACUCCUACGGGAGGCAGCAGUGGGGAAUAUUGGACAAUGGGCGCAAGCCUGAUCCAGCCAUACCGAGUGGGCGAAGAAGGCCUUCGGGUUGUAAAGCCCUUUUGUUGGGAAAGAAAAGCAGCAGGUUAAUACCCCGCUGUUCUGACGGUACCCAAAGAAUAAGCACCGGCUAACUUCGUG